UACGGGGGAGCAAGCGUUGUUCGGAUUUACUGGGCGUAAAGGGCGCGUAGGCGGUCAGCACAAGUCAGUUGUGAAAUCUCCGGGCUUAACUCGGAAAGGUCAACUGAUACUGUGCGGCUAGAGUGCAGAAGGGGCAACUGGAAUUCUCGGUGUAGCGGUGAAAUGCGUAGAUAUCGAGAGGAACACCUGCGGCGAAGGCGGGUUGCUGGGCUGACACUGACGCUGAUGCGCGAAAGCCAGGGGAGCGAACGGG
RNAcentral lists this ribosomal RNA (253 nucleotides) under uncultured bacterium. Its description in RNAcentral is "partial 16S ribosomal RNA". It matches the Rfam family "Bacterial small subunit ribosomal RNA", at positions 524 to 776 of the family's 1533-position model. The record is from RNAcentral.